This 26-nucleotide non-coding RNA is filed under the name Mus musculus (house mouse). The record is from RNAcentral. Lineage: Eukaryota; Metazoa; Chordata; Mammalia; Rodentia; Muridae.
UCUUGAAGCCAGUGAGAAUUGGUGGU